This 253-nucleotide ribosomal RNA is filed under the name uncultured bacterium. RNAcentral's name for it is "partial 16S ribosomal RNA". It matches the Rfam family "Bacterial small subunit ribosomal RNA", at positions 524 to 776 of the family's 1533-position model. The record is from RNAcentral.
UACGUAGGGGGCAAGCGUUGUCCGGAAUUAUUGGGCGUAAAGAGCGUGUAGGCGGUCCGGUAAGUCGGCUGUGAAAGUCCAGGGCUCAACCCUGGGAUGCCGGUCGAUACUGCCGGACUAGAGUUCGGAAGAGGCGAGUGGAAUUCCCGGUGUAGCGGUGAAAUGCGUAGAUAUCUGGAGGAACACCGGUGGCGAAGGCGGCGUUCUGGACUGUUUCUGACACUGAAAAACGAAAGCCAGGGGAGCAAACGGG